UUCUGUAGGUGAACCUGCGGAGGAAGCAUAUCAAUAAGCGGAGGACGGCGGGUCCGCCCGCCGAUUGGACAAAACUUAAACCCUUUGCAGUUGCAAUCAGCGUCUGAAAAAACUUAAUAGUUACAACUUUCAACAACGGAUCUUUUGGUUCUGGUAUCGAUGAAGAACGCAGCGAAAUGCGAUAAGUAGUGUGAAUUGCAGAAUUCAGUGAAUUAUUGAAUCUUUGAACGCACAUUGCGCCCCUUGGUAUUCUAUGGGGCAUGCCUGUUCGAGCGUUAUUUGUACCUUUAAGCUCUGCUUGGUGUUGGGUGUUUGUCUCGCCUCUGCGUGUAGACUCGCCUUAAAACAAUUGGCAGCUGGCGUAUUGAUUUUGGAGCGCAGUACAUCUCGCGCUUUGCACUCAUAACGAUGACGAUUUAAAAGUACAUUUUUACACUCUUGACCUUGGAUUAGGUAGGGAUACCUGCUGAACUUAAGCAUAUCAAUAAGCGGAGGAAAUU
RNAcentral lists this ribosomal RNA (500 nucleotides) under ascomycete sp. 16606. RNAcentral describes it as "eukaryotic LSU rRNA". The stretch from base 125 to 278 matches the Rfam family "5.8S ribosomal RNA". Lineage: Eukaryota; Fungi; Ascomycota. The record is from RNAcentral.